UUCUUUUCACCUUAGAAAGGAAUUAGGCAAAUGUAUCUCAACUAUCAAGUACUCUCUCUUAAUCAAUAGAGGUCAUGUGGGUUUCUUUUCACCUCAGAAAGGAAUUAGGCAAGGGGACCCUCUUUCUCCUUUUUUAUUCAUUCUAGCCAUGGAGGGUUUAAGUAAAAUGUUGGAAAAAGCCAGGCAAAUGCAAUGGAUCCAAGGAUUCAGUGUAGGCACAAACACCGAAUACUCAGUCACUAUCUCCAAUUUAUAAUAUGCUGAUGACACACUGAUCUUCUGUGAGGCAGAUAGAGUUCAAAUCUUGUACCUGAAUCUUUGACUCUAGCUAUUCGAAGCAUUGUUAGGACUUCACAUCAACAAGCAGAAAAGUAUUAUAUAUCCCGUCAAUCGGGUGAGCAACAUUGAGGAGCUGGCAGGGAUCAUUGGUUACAGUAUAGGGUCAUUGCCUACCACCUAUCUGGGGCUCUCACUAAGAGCCAAAUUCAAAAGCAGUGAUAUCUGGAAGCAGUAUAGGGUCUUUACCUACCUCCUAUCUGAGGCUUCCACUGGGAACCAAAUUCAAAAGCAGUGAUAUCUAGAAUGGUGUAGUGGAGAAUUUUGAGAAAAGACUGGCUUCAUGGCAACGACAAUACCUCUAUAUGGGAGGAACUCACCCUCAUCAGUACCGUGCUUGACAUUAUACCUUCUUAUGUCAUGUCACUGUUUCCCAUCCCUAAAAAGAUACUUAACACGCUGGACAAGAUCAGAAGGAACUUUCUAUAGGAAGGAAACAACAGUUCCCACAAGUAUCAUUUGAUUAAAUGGGACAAGGUAUUGCUACCUAAAUGCAAAGGUGGAUUGGGGGUCAAAGAUCUAGACAAGCACAACAAAGGUUUGUUAAUGAAAUGGCUCUGGAGAUAUGGAACAUGUGAAUCAAGUCUAUGCAAAGAGGUGAGCAAAACAUGGGAUUAAAGAUAAUUGGAGCACCAAAAUUGUCACUGCAUCCCAUGGAGUAGGGCCGUGGAAGCAUAUUAGCAAACUGGGCAACGAAUUCUUUCAGAAUAUUCAUUUCAAAUCAGGCAGUGGAUAUCAUAUUAAGUUUUGGAAGGAUAAAUGGAUAAACAACAAUGCUCUCAUGGAGGACUACCCUAGCUUAUUCAACAUCGCCUUGGACAAGAAUUCUUCUAUUGCCCAAAACAGAGCAAAUGGUAAUUGGAAUGUGCAACUCAGAAGAUCCGUUCAAGAUUGGGAGAUAGAAAAUUUGAUGGAAAUGCUAGCAAGAUUAGAGGCCUACAACAUUGAUGAGAAUGCUCCAGAUAGCAUGAGAUGGGGAUCUAAAGGUAGCUACACUAUUAAAGAAUGCUACAUACAACUUAACAAUCAGCAUCAGGUACUACAUUCAUGGCCAUGGAAACUGAUGGAAGACAAAGCUACCUGUGAAGGUGAAAUGCUCAACUGGAUUGCACUUCACGAAGCAUGCCUAACUCAAGAUAACCUAUGCAGAAGGGGAUUUCAGUUGGUCAAUAGAUGCUACCUGUGCAAGGGACACCUGGAAACAGUUGAUCACCUACUUUUACACUGUAGCAACAGAGCUCUGGAACAUGUUCUUUUGUAUUUUUGGUCUAAGUUGGGUAAUGCCACAGACCCUGAGAGAGGCACAUAUGAGUUGGAGUCUUUGGGAGGUUGAUAAGAUCAUUAAGGAAAUUUGGCUUGUUAUCCCUACAACUAUUUUUUGGUGUUUAUGGAACGAGAGGAAUAAAAGAUGCUUUGAUGACACCUCAACACCGAACCACUUACUCAAAUCCAAAUGCCUUCUCAACCUCUUUUGCUGGACAAAGUUGUCACCAAUAAAUAGUACAGAACAUCAUUUGGAUUUUAUUAGCUCACUUGUCCUAGAUUGAGACUUUGAUUUGGGGCAAACAAUGUUCUACCAUAAUUUUUUGUUUAUUUAGCCCUUUUGCUUCUUGUAACUUUGCAUCUUCUUGAUGCCUUCUUAAUGAAACACAUUACUUCAUAAAUAUUUUUUGAUAUUUUAGAGCUAUUAACAUCAUUUUUAUCGAAAACUGCUUCAACCUCAAGAUACCAUUAAAACAAAAUA
This 2080-nucleotide long non-coding RNA is filed under the name Nicotiana benthamiana. RNAcentral describes it as "long non-coding RNA (NBEN_LNC008147)". Lineage: Eukaryota; Viridiplantae; Streptophyta; Magnoliopsida; Solanales; Solanaceae. The record is from RNAcentral.